UGCCUUUAGGAUUAAAGGUAAUUCUGCUCAGUGAACACUUAAACAGCCGUUUAACGCUAAGGUAGCGUAAUCAAAAGUUCAUUAAUUGUGAACCCGUAUGAAAGAAAAAGUCUUAAAUCACUUUGUUAUACCAAUAAAUGAACCUAAGGAAAUAAAAGAAAAUUUUCUAAAACCACAAGACGAGAAGACCCUAAAAGCUAAUUGAAUAGAACAAUUUUUUGGGGAAAAUUAUAAAAAAUAUUCUUUACGAAAAAAUAUAAAAUAACCCUUAAAAUGGGGUACUUUAGGGAUAACAGAGCAAUAAAAAAUAAGAGAACAUAUCUGAUUUUAAGAUUGCAACCUCUAUGUUGGAUUCUCUAACCUCACCCCGCAUGAAUGAGGGAGGGGAUAGACUGAUCUUUUUUUAAGACAG
Molecule: ribosomal RNA, 412 nt
Filed under: Spinaetergum adinae
Lineage: Eukaryota; Metazoa; Arthropoda; Arachnida; Trombidiformes; Eriophyidae
Description: partial 16S ribosomal RNA
Source: RNAcentral